UAAAUAUAACUUUUGCCUUUAAGCUACUGAUUAUUUCUAAGAAUCUUGAGAUUUUGUUUUGCUUAUCAACUUUUGAAGGUCAGACUGGAUUUGUUUACUAUAAAACCAACGUUUCUGUCUGAACUGUUAGUUAAUCAUGUACAUUUUUGUUUGCUUGGUUAUCUUGUUCACGUUUAUUUAAAAUCCCCUGGCAUCUUCACCUUGUUUUCAUGAAGGACAGUGGAACACUGGACUCAGUAUUGUGAAACUAAAGUAAUUUAGUGGUAAGAUGAUGAUCAAUGUAUAAAGAACACUGUCUUGUGCAGUUUUAUCAAACAUAAUUUUAUAUAGCUCUCUAGCAAAUGCUGAGAAAUGUAUUACAAUAUAUGCAAAAUAAAAGUUUUGCUGAUAAAAGUCAUGCAAAAACUUGAAUAGUCCAAACUUAAAGUUCAGUGCUGACAGGAAACAUUAACCCUGAGCUCCCCUCUUUUGGUUCCACUCCUUCAGCAGGCGUCUUCUACAAAAAAGUCUAGAGGCAUCCAUUUAUAGGCCUUUUUUAUGCACCUCUCAUUCCACACAGCAUAGGCAACAUUGGAGUUGAAUCCAGAACCCUUUCUCUUCAUUAACUAAGAGGGAUCUUCCAGCCCAGACUGACAAAUUCUCCUCAAAAAGUGCUAACAAACAAAAAUGAUAACCCAAGUCUCAGGCUGCGUUCACACUGCAGCACCAAGUGACCCAAUUCCGAUUUUUCUUUCGUGUUUUUCUUUUCUUCUUGCCUUAUGCAACUUGUAUCUGAUCUUGUUAUGACAAAGGUCCGAUUUUUUUCGAAUGUGACCCAGACCACUUGGAUAUCCGAUGCGUAUCUGAUCUUUUCAAAUGUGACAUGAAUCCUAAAAUGUUAUUUAUACUCGACAAAUGUCACUAUUCUGUGCCCUGAUACGCACAAGCGAGAAGAAAAACAACAACUAUGGUGGACUAUAGUGAGGAUUAAGUUGUUAAUGUGCUGGUUCCGGUCAGACAACAACUUCAAAAUCGCAAGAUGUUCUCCAUCGUUAGCAUCCAUGAGCACCAAACACUGAGCACUUCUUCUUCUUCUUUAUGGUAAUUGGCAAAACACUGAACAUGCUCUCUAUUAUUAUAUUGUUAUUGCGCCCUCUACUUCGUAUGUGGGGCACUUUCAGGCCAUUUGGAGUUCACACUACAGAACACAUACAAGUCGUGACCACACCAGAAACAUCCCAUUUGACAAAAAAUUGGGUCACUUCGGGCUGCAGUGUGAAUGUAGCCUUAGACUCUAAGCAGCUCAAACCCACAAUAAUCCCCUUCUAAUGAAAAGUCAAGGACAUAGUAAUAAUAAAUCAUCACUGAUGUAAAAAAUGUUUUAUAAAUGUUACUGGCCACAACAAAACCACAGGAAAUAAAAAAAAAUGACACAACAGCAAUGGCUUCUAUUGGGGUAAAAAUCACAGUGAAAUGUUUUAUUUGAAUAAGCACAUAUUAAAAGAAGAAUGAAUAAUAUUU
This is a long non-coding RNA of Xiphophorus hellerii (green swordtail), 1500 nucleotides long. RefSeq lists it as uncharacterized. The record is from RefSeq and is a predicted model, not a curated record. Lineage: Eukaryota; Metazoa; Chordata; Actinopteri; Cyprinodontiformes; Poeciliidae. The transcript has 2 exons.